UACGUAGGGUGCGAGCGUUAAUCGGAAUUACUGGGCGUAAAGCGUGCGCAGGCGGUGAUGUAAGACUGAUGUGAAAUCCCCGGGCUCAACCUGGGAACUGCAUUUGUGACUGCAUCGCUGGAGUGCGGCAGAGGGGGAUGGAAUUCCGCGUGUAGCAGUGAAAUGCGUAGAUAUGCGGAGGAACACCGAUGGCGAAGGCAAUCCCCUGGGCCUGCACUGACGCUCAUGCACGAAAGCGUGGGGAGCAAACAGG
Molecule: ribosomal RNA, 253 nt
Filed under: uncultured bacterium
Lineage: Bacteria
Description: partial 16S ribosomal RNA
Rfam family: Bacterial small subunit ribosomal RNA
Source: RNAcentral